UUGUCCUACGGUUGACUCAUAUCUCUCUCCUUCACUGUAAAAUCUCUCUCCCCCCCAGAACCUCUUCAGCUCACCAAGCUAAUAAUCUCCUUUCCAUUUCCUGGCCUCUUCUUUGCCGUCUUUGAUCUUCAAUUUUCUUUGUCCAGAUGCCUCAAAGCCGCGAAAAUGAAGAAAGCUGUGCUGAAAUUGGAUCUGCAUGAAGAGAAAGCUAAGAAGAAAGCCAUGAAGACAGUAUCUAGGCUUCCAGUAUUUGUUCUGUGAUGCCAAACUUGCAGGGGUGCAUUCAAUAUCCAUGGAGAUGAAGGACCAGAAGCUGACAGUGAUAGGGGACAUUGAUCCAGUACACAUAGUUGCCAAACUGAGAAAGCUGUGCUGCACAGAAAUAGUUACAGUAGAACCGGCAAAAGAACCCGAAAAGCAAAAGGAGGAA
This is a long non-coding RNA of Populus nigra (black poplar), 430 nucleotides long. RefSeq lists it as uncharacterized. The transcript has 3 exons. The record is from RefSeq and is a predicted model, not a curated record. Lineage: Eukaryota; Viridiplantae; Streptophyta; Magnoliopsida; Malpighiales; Salicaceae.